Molecule: ribosomal RNA, 668 nt
Filed under: Stemonidium hypomelas
Lineage: Eukaryota; Metazoa; Chordata; Actinopteri; Anguilliformes; Serrivomeridae
Description: 12S rRNA
Rfam family: Bacterial small subunit ribosomal RNA
Source: RNAcentral
GAGCCGGCAUCAUGGCACACUAACCGUAGCCCAAAACGCCUUGCUCAGCCACACCCCCAAGGGAAUUCAGCAGUGAUAAAUAUUAAGCCAUAAGCGAAAGCUCGACUUAGUCAAGGCUAAAAGAGCCGGUAAAACUCGUGCCAGCCACCGCGGUUAGACGGGAGGCUCAAAUUGAUGCUACACGGCGUAAAGCGUGAUUAAAAAACAAAUAAGCUAAAGCCGAACACCUCCUAAGCUGUCAUACGCUACUGGAUAGAUGAAGCCCCGUAACGAAAGUAGCUUUAAUACCUUUGAAUACACAACAGUUAAGAAACAAACUGGGAUUAGAUACCCCACUAUGCCUAACCAUAAACAAUGAUAACAAAUUACAAAUGUUAUCCGCCAGGGAACUACGAGCGUUAGCUUAAAACCCAAAGGACUUGGCGGUGUCUCAAACCCACCUAGAGGAGCCUGUUCUAUAACCGAUAAUCCACGUUAAACCUCACCACUUCUUGCUAAAACCGCCUAUAUACCGCCGUCGUCAGCUUACCUCUUGAGAGACUUAUAGUAAGCCUAAUGAGUUUUACCCAAAACGUCAGGUCGAGGUGUAGCGAAUGCAGUGGGAUGAAAUGGGCUACUUUUCUGACCCAGAAAAUUACGGAAAGUGCAUGAAACUAGCACGACUGAAG